AUUAUACGGCGAACUGCGAAUGGCUCAUUAUAUAAGUUAUCGUUUAUUUGAUAGCACUUUUUUACUCGGAUAACUGUGGUAAUUCUAGAGCUAAUACGUGCUGAAAAUCUCGACUUCGGAAGAGAUGUAUUUAUUAGAUUAAAAGCCAAUGCCCUUCGGGGCUUUCUGGUGAUUCAUAAUAACUUCUCGAAUCGCAUGGCCUUGCGCCGGCGAUGGUUCAUUCAAAUUUCUUCCCUAUCAACUUUCGAUGCGAGGGUAUUGUCCUCGCAUGGUUACAACGGGUAACGGAGGGUUAGGGCUCGACCCCGGAGAAGGAGCCUGAGAAACGGCUACUACAUCCAAGGAAGGCAGCAGGCGCGCAAAUUACCCAAUCCCGACACGGGGAGGUAGUGACAAUAAAUACUGAUACAGGGCUCUUUUGGGUCUUGUAAUCGGAAUGAGUACAAUUUAAAUCCCUUAACGAGGAACAAUUGGAGGGCAAGUCUGGUGCCAGCAGCCGCGGUAAUUCCAGCUCCAAUAGCGUAUAUUAAAGUUGUUGUGGUUAAAAAGCUCGUAGUCGAACCUUGGGCCUGGCUACACGGACCGCCUCACCGCGAGAUCUGCCGUAGCCGGGUCUUUCCCUCUGUGGAACCCCAUGGCCUUUACUGGUCGUGGCGGGGAAACAGGACUUUUACUGUGAAAAAAUUAGAGUGCUCCAGGCAGGCCUAUGCUCGAAUACAUUAGCAUGGAAUAAUGAAAUAGGACGCAUGAGCGAAUUUCAUUGGCUAUUCGCUUGUCGUAAUGACCAAUAGGAACGGUCGGGGAUGUCCGUAUUCCGCUGUCAGAGGUGAAAUUCUUGGAUCUGUGGAAGACGAACUACUGCGAAAGCAUUCAUCAAGGACGUUUUCAUUGAUAAGGAACGAAAGUUAGGGGAUCGAAGACGAUCAGAUACCGUCGUAGUCUUAACUAUAAACUAUGCCGACUAGGGAUCGGACGAUGUUAUCUUUUGACUCGUUCGGCACCUUUCGAGAAAUCAAAGUGCUGG
This 1024-nucleotide ribosomal RNA is filed under the name Aniptosporopsis lignatilis. RNAcentral describes it as "SSU rRNA". It matches the Rfam family "Eukaryotic small subunit ribosomal RNA", at positions 73 to 1109 of the family's 1831-position model. Lineage: Eukaryota; Fungi; Ascomycota; Sordariomycetes; Microascales; Halosphaeriaceae. The record is from RNAcentral.